Patella vulgata (common limpet) is the source of this 799-nucleotide long non-coding RNA. RefSeq lists it as uncharacterized. The transcript is spliced from 3 exons. NCBI's taxonomy places the organism in Eukaryota, Metazoa, Mollusca, Gastropoda, Patellidae. The record is from RefSeq and is a predicted model, not a curated record.
UCAAAAUGUCCGUCAUGGAUAGAUACUUGUAUUAUAAUAUUAUUGGUGUUUUACUGUCUGUACAGUUUUAUAAUAUACAAGGCCAAGGGUACAGUUUAUCAGGCUCAUCAUCAUAUGGUAUUAGAGGAGGGGAUUACAGAUUUACAUGCGAGAUAUCGACUGUUAGAAUACCCACAGAUGUAACCUUUACAACUACUAGGACAUUAGUAUGUAGAGUAACACUAUGUCAACAAGCGUCGUCAACAGGACGUGCCAGAUAUACCUGUGGGUGUAUCAAUGGUAACAAUAGAACACUGUAUCUUGAUAUAACAGAUGUUACAUUAACUGAUGCUGUAGAUUGGACCUGUGGAGAUUUUGAUCCUCGUGUUGGUAGUAGUCAACCUGUACCUCUUCUGGUUUAUUAUGGACCUGAGAAUAUCGGAUUUACACCAACAGGUUCUAAUAUAACAGUGAUAGAAAAUGAAAGUAGAUCUGUAAACUGUUCAGCUGACUGUAAUCCACCACCGUGUAAUAUUAACUGGUAUAAAGGAGCUGAUACUAGUGGUAGUAUUUUAACAUCAUCUAGUAAUGGUCUUCUACAACUAAACAACAUCCAGAGACAAGAUACAGCUUAUACAUGUCACGCUCAACAAAGAACCAUAACAACAACCCCACUCACUAAAUCACUACAGAUAACAGUUUAUUGUAAGUAUUACCCUACUCACUACAGAUAACAGUUUAUUGUACAGUAUUACCCUACUCACUACAGAUAACAGUUUAUUGUACAGUAUUACCCUACUCACUAUAGAUAACAGUUUAU